AGUGAACGCUGGUGGUAGGCCUAACACAUGCAAGUCGAACGGCAGCACAGUAAGAGCUUGCUCUUACGGGUGGCGAGUGGCGGACGGGUGAGGAAUACAUCGGAAUCUACUUUUUCGUGGGGGAUAACGUAGGGAAACUUACGCUAAUACCGCAUACGACCUACGGGUGAAAGCAGGGGAUCUUCGGACCUUGCGCGAUUGAAUGAGCCGAUGUCGGAUUAGCUAGUUGGCGGGGUAAAGGCCCACCAAGGCGACGAUGCGUAGCUGGUCUGAGAGGAUGAUCAGCCACACUGGAACUAAGACACGGUCCAGACUCCUACGGGAGGCAGCAGUGGGGAAUAUUGGACAAUGGGCGCAAGCCUGAUCCAGCCAUGCCGCGUGAGUGAAGAAGGCCUUCGGGUUGUAAAGCCCUUUUGUUGGGAAAGAAAAGCAGCAGGUUAAUACCCCGCUGUUCUGACGGUACCCAAAGAAUAAGCACCGGCUAACUUCGUG
RNAcentral lists this ribosomal RNA (492 nucleotides) under uncultured bacterium. RNAcentral's name for it is "partial 16S ribosomal RNA". It matches the Rfam family "Bacterial small subunit ribosomal RNA", at positions 29 to 507 of the family's 1533-position model. The record is from RNAcentral.